AUUAAUGGGAGGCGUUUGCAGAGGUGCCAUUUGCAACAUGUGGAUGUCCCUCCUUUUCCCUCUGCCCUACCCCCUUCCUCCCCAGAGAUUGAAAACAGAGGGAAGGAAGCCAGGAAAACAUUAAACAAGGUCUGCUGCUCUGGAGAAUGUCUAUGAAGAAAGAAAGCAGUUGAGGUUUUAUGAUUUAAAAAUGAUCACAGUGCUUCCAGAACCCUGCAAGUCGGACAAUAGCUGCCAUGUAUUGGGCGUCCACUCCAUGCCAGGUGCUGUUCUGAGCACUUACACAGACAACAUCACUCCAUCCUCAUGACCACCCACGAUGUGAGUGCUACUAUCAUCACCCAGAGUUCAGAGAUGAGGAAACUGAGGCCCAGAGAUGGCACGUCACUUCCUCCAAAGUGAUUCAGAAGGACAACCACCUAAACUGCAGCUAAACCAGCCAAUCAACACAGGUGCUGGGAUUGUGACCUUCUUCGAAACAGUUCCUCUCAGCAAAGACAUCAGGUGUCAACAACCACACGGUGGAAGGUCCCUGCGGAUGGGAUCUGCGGAAGCACUGCAAUCUCGUGGAAGUGGUCCUGGGAUGUAAAGUGAUCGAGCCAGCUGCGGAGUUCCACAUGAAUACAGGAGAUGACGUUUCCCUUGGGAGAGAAGAUCAAAGCCACCUUGGGUCCUCUUGCUGCUGAGUUUUACUCAGAGUCUUUGCAACUUCUACUCCCGCCUGCCUCUGGGGCUCUGAGACGAUGUGGGCUCAAAACUUUGGAAAAACAGAGAAAGAAUGCAGAGAAAAAUUCAUAGCUACAUAGCAUCUAAGCUUGUUGUUUCAGACGGAAAGGUCUAAGGCUUGGUUAGAGAGAGAAAUGUUUAUGGUUUGUCUGUGGGAACCUACCUCUAAACAAUCCAUUUUGAAAGACAUCAUAUAGUAAUGUAAACAGCAAAUUACUCCUGAUUAAUGCUAAAGAUGACUCCAGAAAACAAGGAGCCCAUUAAAUGGGACUUGGUAAAGAUUCUAAAAAAGAAAAAACCAAACAGGCAAGAUACUAGAAAGAGUUCUUAAGGGUAAGGAUUGUGUCUUAAUAAUUCCUAAAGCCUAGAGCCCUGUCCUCAGAUUGGAGCUCAACAAAUGUUUGUUGGAUGACUGGAUCCAUUAAUCAAUCCGUCUAAAGAGCAUUGAGUGGGAAUGGUGUGCCCAAGGUGUUUAACCUGGAAAAUUGGAGAAAUGAUAAUACCAUUGAUAGAAAAGGGGAAGCUAGAGAAAGACCUAGUCUUGGGAGUAAUUAUAAAUUAGAUUUGGCCAAUGUGUUGAGAUGAUAGUAAAGAUCCAGUUGCCCAGGGACAACAGGUAGCUGAAAAGAGAGGACUCAAGGUUGUCUUUGAUGUUCAGCAGCAUUGAGUCAGCUCUUAACUAAGGAACCAUGAUUUUAUUUGGCAUAAUCCUUUUAAAGAGAUCUUGACACAUGAUGUGGGGCCAAAUGGAGGAACUAAGGUUGUGUAGGGCUGAGAAUUGUGGCCAGAACAUUCAGCUUCAAGGAGAAUAGCCUACAGGGAUAUAUUUUGCUGUCUUUGUGCUGGAGGGUCUGACCUGCAGCAGAGGUAGACUUGCUCUGUGUCACCAACGGGAGACGAUUUGCAGUGGGUCUCUCACGUUUCUGCUCUUGUUGCAAGCAAGGCACUGACUGAUGUUUGCUCUAGACUCUUUCCAAGGAUGUUUGCUAUACAAACAUCCUUGGAAGGCAGAGAUAAGGUCUCCCUCCAGAGCAAAGGGCAGUUUUGCUUACAGCCUUGGAAGACUAACAUGGUGUCCUGGUCCAGAGCAAAGGGCAGACACGCUUACUGCUCAUUAUAAAAGAUUCAAGUUUCCUAAACUCAGGGUUCCUCUCCUCUAUCACAACCCACUGUGUGCAGAUGUUGUCUGGUCCUCUUCAUGUUGUCUUGUGGAAAUUGGGGCUUGGAGACCAGGCUCAAAAAUGCUGAUACUCUGGCUACUGCAAUUGCAAUGAGUCCUUUGUCUUUUGUCUCUGAUCCAGAAAUCUCAUGUUUUCAACCAGCAUCCAUAAAAUGGUGGCAGGCUGACUUGUUCGCUUGCAAGCAGGGAAAAAUCUCAGGCCAUUCAAAGUUUUUGAUGGUCACUUUCAGAGAUUUCUAUACUGGGGUCCAUGGGGGAACUGUAGGAGAUCCUGAAAGGAGUCUAUGAUUAAAGUCAAGUCAAAGAGAGUUCUUCUCUAGGGGAUGAGAACAGAGAGAAGAAAAGGGCCUGAUUGCUUUGGGACACUCCCUUCAUUAUGAUGUGGGCUCACAUAUUUCAGCAGCAUGUAUUAAGGAGCGUACAGGAGCAUGCAACCAAGAACACAUGGACAGACAGACAACGACAGCCAAUGGACUCUAAAUACCCUAUGAGGCAGAGCUGAGAACGGGAGGAGAGCGGAGCCUUUGAGCAGCACCUGCGGGCUCCUCUCCUCUCCUCUCCGCACCUCACUCUCGUGGCCUGCCCGUCCUGCUGCCUGGUCGCCACCCAGAACUCCUUCCACCAUGGCCACCUCAGCAAGUUCCCACUUGAACAAAGGCAUCAAGCAGGUGUACAUGUCCCUGCCUCAGGAUGAGAAAGUCCAAAGUAUGUCUAUCUGGAUUGGCGGUACUGGGGAAGGAUUGCGCUGCAAUGCCUGGGCCGGACAGGGAGCCCAAGUGUGUAGAAGAGCUGCCUGAGUGGAAUUUUGAUGGCUCUAGGACUUUUCAGUCUGAAGGCUCCAAUAGUGACAUGUAUCUCGUCCCUGCUGCUGUGUUUUGGGACCCUUUCCACAAGGACCCCAACAAGCUGUUGUUCUGUGAAGUCUUCAAGUACAACUGAAAGUCUACAGAGACCAACUUAAGGCACACCUGUAAACGGAUAAUGGACAUGGAGAGCCACCCGUCCCCCCCGGUUUGGAACGGAGCAGGAAUAAAUGCUCAUGGGCAUAGAUGGGCAACCUUCUGGUUGGGCUUCCAAUGGCUUCCCUGGGUCCCAAUGUCCAUACUACUGUGGUGUGGGAGCAGACAAAGCUUAUGGCAGGGAUAGUGUGGAGGUUUACUACCGGGCCUGCUUGUACGCCAGCGUCAAGAUUGCAGGGAGAAAUGCCGAGGUCAUGCCUGCCCAGUGGGAAUUCCAGAUAGGACCCUGUGAAGGAAUCGACAUGGGAGAUCAUCUCUAGGUGGCCCAUUUCAUCUUGCAUUGUGUGUGUCAAGACUUUGGAGUGAUAGUAACCUUUGAUCCUAAGCCCAUUCCUGGGAAGUAGAAGGGUGCAGGCUGCCACACCAACUUCAGCACCAAGGCCACGCGAGAGGAGAAUGGUCUGAAGUACACUGGGGAGGCCACUGAGAAACUGAGCAAGAAGCAUCAGUACCACAUCCGAGCCUACGAUCCCAAGGGGGGCUUGGACAAUGCCCGGUGCCUGACUGGAUUCCACGAAACCUCCAACAUCAAUGACAUUUCUGCUGGCGUGGCCAACCAUAGUGCUAGCAUCCACACUCCCCAGGCCGUCAGCCAGGAAAAGAUGGGUUACUUUGAAGACUGUUGCCCCUCUGCCAACUGUGACCCCUUUUCGGUGACAGAAGCCCUCAUCCACAUGUGUUUUCUCAACGAAACUGGUGAUGAGCCCUUCCAAUACAAAAACUAAGUGGACUAGACUUGCAGCCAUCAAACCUCUCCUGAUUCUACAUUCCACUGUCGCCCCUCUCUCAAUUGUUCUAAUAGCUGUAAAUCAAAGGGCAGAAUAGCAAGUUCUUUUUUUUUUUUUUUAUUCUUCGUGCCCAGUUAACCUCUUGCUUUUUUUGGCCAGGAUAGAUGGGUCAAGUUCUUAAUCUCUUCACACACCCCCCACCCCCUUUUUUCCUAUCACUGAAGCUUUCUAGUGUGUUAGUGGGGAGGGCGGUGGGGAAACAUAACCACUGCUUCCCUUCAGUCAGGUGUGUUCGUCCAAUAGGCGUGUCCAUCCGAACAGAGAGCACAGCAUUUGUGAUGGAGGGCGAGGUCUUUUCUUCAAGGUAGCUGAGUGGGGAGAGGACUGACUUACACUGUGGUUAGGUUAGGAUUUCCUCUCUCAGUGGGAAGUUCCAUUUCUCAUAAAGUUAUAAUCAACUUUGUGUUAAAAGCGAAGAUUGGGAGAGAAGGAAGACUGGGGAUCAGGUCGGAAAACACUCUGUGCUCCUAGUGUGGUGCCUCCCUUGCCUGCAGCUAAAUGCCCUCACCUGAAGACGACCCAGGCUGAAUGGAUGGACAGCCCUACCUUAGCAGAAAAGCUCUUAUUGCUUGGUCCUCCAUUUAUAACACAAAGCAGAGUAUUUUUAUAUUUAAGUGUAAAAACAAGAAAAUUAUAUAAACGGGUAUGCAGAAAUGUGUGGGUUUUUUUCCUAAAAGAAAAACCAUUCUCAUCACUGGGAGCCAAAUCUGCGGCAAGUAGUCUGGUUAGGCACGGGGACGUCCUUUUCAGUGGGGUGAGGGAGGCGGUGCUUGAAAAGUUGGCUGUUGGGGGCUGUUAGUCCCUUGCUACCACUUAAGGGUUUCCCUGCCCUGCCCACCCUUCUGGAGGGGUGGACACUUUUCCAGUAACAAGUGGCAGCAGUCACCAGAGCCCCGGGGCUUUGGUUUAAAGGACGCACAUGUACUUGUACACACAGGGGUUAGAAACAUGAGUUGCCUGGUCAAUUUGAGCAUGUUCCUGACAAGGGGUUUGGGGAUUACUUUCUUGUGGGACUAG
Equus caballus (horse) is the source of this 4730-nucleotide long non-coding RNA. NCBI's taxonomy places the organism in Eukaryota, Metazoa, Chordata, Mammalia, Perissodactyla, Equidae. The record is from Ensembl.